Molecule: ribosomal RNA, 468 nt
Filed under: uncultured bacterium
Lineage: Bacteria
Description: partial 16S ribosomal RNA
Rfam family: Bacterial small subunit ribosomal RNA
Source: RNAcentral
GACGAACGCUGGCGGCGUGCUUAACACAUGCAAGUCGAACGGAAAGGCCCGGCGCUUGUGGGGUGCUCGAGUGGCGAACGGGUGAGUAACACGUGAGGAACCCGCCCUUGACUGUGGGAGAACAUCAGGAAACUGGGGCGAAUACCGGAUAGGAGCUCCUGCUGCAUGGUGGGGGUUGGAAAGAGUCGGCGGUUGGGGAUGGACUCGCGGCUUAUCAGCUGGUUGGUGGGGUAGGGGCUUACCAAGGCUUUGACGGGUAGCCGGCCUGAGAGGGUGACCGGCCACCUUGGGACUGAGGUACGGCCCAGACGCCUACGGGAGGCAGCAGUGGGGAAUAUUGCACAAUGGGCGGAAGCCUGAUGCAGCGACGCCGCGUGCGGGAUGACGGCCUUCGGGUUGUAAACCGCUUUCGCCUGUGACGAAGCGUGAGUGACGGUAAUGGGUCAAAAAGCACCGGCUAACUACGUG